RNAcentral lists this ribosomal RNA (460 nucleotides) under uncultured bacterium. RNAcentral's name for it is "partial 16S ribosomal RNA". It matches the Rfam family "Bacterial small subunit ribosomal RNA", at positions 338 to 795 of the family's 1533-position model. The record is from RNAcentral.
CCUACGGGAGGCAGCAGUGAGGAAUAUUGGUCAAUGGACGAGAGUCUGAACCAGCCAAGUAGCGUGAAGGAUGACUGCCCUAUGGGUUGUAAACUUCUUUUAUAAAGGAAUAAAACGAGGCACGUGUGCCUUUUUGCGUGUACUUUAUGAAUAAGGAUCGGCUAACUCCGUGCCAGCAGCCGCGGUAAUACGGAGGAUCCGAGCGUUAUCCGGAUUUAUUGGGUUUAAAGGGAGCGUAGAUGGGUUGUUAAGUCAGUUGUGAAAGUUUGCGGCUCAACCGUAAAAUUGCAAUUGAUACUGGCAUUCUUGAGUACAGUUGAGGUAUGCGGAAUGCGUGGUGUAGCGGUGAAAUGCUUAGAUAUCACGAAGAACCCCGAUUGCGAAGGCAGCUUACUAAACUGCGACUGACACUGAUGCACGAAAGUGUGGGUAUCAAACAGGAUUAGAUACCCUAGUAGUC